GGAGGAAAAGAAACCAACAGGGAUUGCCCUAGUAACGGCGAGUGAAGCGGCAACAGCUCAAAUUUGAAAUCUGGCGCAAGCCCGAGUUGUAAUUUGUAGAGGAUGCUUCAGGGCAGCGGCCGGUCUAAGUUCCUUGGAACAGGACGUCAUAGAGGGUGAGAAUCCCGUAUGCGACCGGUUGGCACCCGUCACGUAGCUCCUUCGACGAGUCGAGUUGUUUGGGAAUGCAGCUCUAAAUGGGAGGUAAAUUUCUUCUAAAGCUAAAUACCGGCCAGAGACCGAUAGCGCACAAGUAGAGUGAUCGAAAGAUGAAAAGCACUUUGGAAAGAGAGUUAAAAAGCACGUGAAAUUGUUGAAAGGGAAGCGCAUGCAACCAGACUUGUCGGCGGUGUUCCGCCGGUCUUCUGACCGGUCUAUUCGCCGCCGGCAGGCCAGCAUCAUCUGGGCGCGCCGGAUAAAGGCGUGGGGAAUGUAGCUCCUCGGAGUGUUAUAGCCCUGCGCACAAUACGGCGCCGCCCGGGUGAGGUCCGCGCUUCGGCUAGGAUGCUGGCGUAAUGGUUGUCUGCGGCCCGUCUUGAAACACGGACCAAGGAGUCUAACAUCUAUGCGAGUGUUCGGGUGUCAAACCCCUACGCGUAAUGAAAGUGAACGGAGGUGGGAAGCGCAAGCUGCACCAUCGACCGAUCCUGAUGUCUUCGGAUGGAUUUGAGUAAGAGCAUAGCUGUUGGGACCCGAAAGAUGGUGAACUAUGCCUGAAUAGGGUGAAGCCAGAGGAAACUCUGGUGGAGGCUCGCAGCGGUUCUGACGUGCAAAUCGAUCGUCAAAUUUGGGUAUAGGGGCGAAAGACUAAUCGA
This 854-nucleotide ribosomal RNA is filed under the name Teratosphaeria hortaea. RNAcentral describes it as "eukaryotic LSU rRNA". It matches the Rfam family "Eukaryotic large subunit ribosomal RNA", at positions 52 to 938 of the family's 3401-position model. The record is from RNAcentral. Lineage: Eukaryota; Fungi; Ascomycota; Dothideomycetes; Mycosphaerellales; Teratosphaeriaceae.